GAUGAACGCUGGCGGCGUGCCUAAUACAUGCAAGUCGAGCGAACAGACGAGGAGCUUGCUCCUCUGACGUUAGCGGCGGACGGGUGAGUAACACGUGGAUAACCUACCUAUAAGACUGGGAUAACUUCGGGAAACCGGAGCUAAUACCGGAUAAUAUAUUGAACCGCAUGGUUCAAUAGUGAAAGACGGUUUUGCUGUCACUUAUAGCUGGAUCCGCGCCGCAUUAGCUAGUUGGUAAGGUAACGGCUUACCAAGGCAACGAUGCGUAGCCGACCUGAGAGGGUGAUCGGCCACACUGGAACUGAGACACGGUCCAGACUCCUACGGGAGGCAGCAGUAGGGAAUCUUCCGCAAUGGGCGAAAGCCUGACGGAGCAACGCCGCGUGAGUGAUGAAGGUCUUCGGAUCGUAAAACUCUGUUAUUGGGGAAGAACAAAUGUGUAAGUAACUAUGCACGUCUUGACGGUACCUAAUCAGAAAGCCACGGCUAACUACGUG
This 497-nucleotide ribosomal RNA is filed under the name uncultured bacterium. Its description in RNAcentral is "partial 16S ribosomal RNA". It matches the Rfam family "Bacterial small subunit ribosomal RNA", at positions 28 to 507 of the family's 1533-position model. The record is from RNAcentral.